AGUGAACGCUGGCGGUAGGCCUAACACAUGCAAGUCGAACGGCAGCACAGUAAGAGCUUGCUCUUACGGGUGGCGAGUGGCGGACGGGUGAGGAAUACAUCGGAAUCUACUUUUUCGUGGGGGAUAACGUAGGGAAACUUACGCUAAUACCGCAUACGACCUACGGGUGAAAGCAGGGGAUCUUCGGACCUUGCGCGAUUGAAUGAGCCGAUGUCGGAUUAGCUAGUUGGCGGGGUAAAGGCCCACCAAGGCGACGAUCCGUAGCUGGUCUGAGAGGAUGAUGAGCCACACUGGAACUGAGACACGGUCCAGACUCCUACGGGAGGCAGCGGUGGGGAAUAUUGGACGAUGGGCGCAAGCCUGAUCCAGCCAUACCGCGUGGGUGAAGAAGGCCUUCGGGUUGUAAAGCCCUUUUGUUGGGAAAGAAAAGCAGCAGGUUAAUACCCCGCUGUUCUGACGGUACCCAAAGAAUAAGCACCGGCUAACUUCGUG
RNAcentral lists this ribosomal RNA (492 nucleotides) under uncultured bacterium. RNAcentral's name for it is "partial 16S ribosomal RNA". It matches the Rfam family "Bacterial small subunit ribosomal RNA", at positions 29 to 507 of the family's 1533-position model. The record is from RNAcentral.